RNAcentral lists this long non-coding RNA (1687 nucleotides) under Cicer arietinum (chickpea). Its description in RNAcentral is "long non-coding RNA (CARI_LNC002989)". Lineage: Eukaryota; Viridiplantae; Streptophyta; Magnoliopsida; Fabales; Fabaceae. The record is from RNAcentral.
AAAAUUUUUGGAAUUUGUAUUAAUAACUUAACACUAUACAUCAAUCAUUUGUAAAUUUGUAAAAUUGAACUUAAUUCGUAUCUAAAUUUAAACUACAUUACAAAGCCCAUAUGUCUGUGCCCUGACAAGUUGUGCCGUAACAAAUUGCUUGAUCAACUGCUUUAUAACACUUGUUUUGCUUAUAAACAGUAAAAAUUGAAAAAUCAAGAUUGUUUAAUCCAAUCGAUUACACAUAGAACAAUGAAAGCAACCUGAAACAAUAAUAAACUAUCAGUUUUCAUGUUAUAUUUCAUAAGAUAAAAUAAAAAUAAAAUAAAGUUUUCAUACUGCAAAUACUACAAAUCAUUUGACAAAACAAAUAUACCACAAAUCAUUUUACCAAUAAAAGAAAAUCACAAAUCAAUGAAUCACCGCAUAACUAAAUUUUUUUUUUUAUAAUACAUAGAAACAGUGAUAGGGUUUUAAAAUCAGUGAAAAAAUAACCAAUUAAAGAAAGACAUGGAACAUUCUUUUAGUAAAUUCUACAGUUUUGUUUUACUAAAUAAAUUAUAUGACAAUAUUACGAGGAAAAAAAUCAAAAUGUUAAUUAAUAAUUGAAUUAAUUUUUCAUUAACUAAUUAUGUCAACAUUCAUAUAUUGCAUAGUAAAUAUCGACUAAAUCAAUAGUAGAGAUAUAUCUAUUUUAGAAUUAUUUUUAGUAUAUCUAUUCUUUUAAUAGAGGUAAAUCAAGAUCAUUUAUAUAAAUUAUUUUUAGAAUUAAAAAUGUAAUUGAAAAUCAUAAAAAAUCAAAAUAGAUUUAAAUUGCAAAAUUUAAAAUUUGUGUUAGUGUUAACUUUAUAAUUUAAUCACAUUGAUUCAUUAAAAUUAGGUCAUUCAACUAUUAAUCAAUUAGUUUGAUAUUACCAAAAUAUAGUAAUCAUUUAAAUAAAUCUUAUUAAAUUAGUUCUAACCAACCUAACAAAUACCUCUAAAAUUGAUAGUUCUAACACUCAUUUAAAAAAUAACAUUUUUUUUUUUAUUUAUAUUUUCACAUAUUAAUCUUAAUUUUAUAAAAGACCAUGAUUAUCGGGACAACAUGUUAUCUAAAAGAACAUUAUUUCGAAACCUUACAUUAUUUAUGUAACACCCCAAAUCACUGUAUAUGCUAAAUUAUUAUUAUUACUAUUAUUAUGAAACAAAGUGUCUCAUGCAACAAAAGAUCUCAUCCGUUCUCUUCUUUAAUUUCAGAUAAUAAUUUAAAAUUUUAUCCUUUUGUUUUUUCAUAAUAAUGAUUCAAGCAUUUAUGUUUUAAAAUAUAACAGUAUUAUCAUUUUCUAUACACUCAAAAAAAUUUAUUAUCAUUUUGAAAAAAAAAAUAAAAAAUUUCAUUAUCAAUUCUAAGAAAAAUAAUAUCAAAUAAAUUUAUAUGUUCAUCUCUAAAAAUAAUAUUAAAUCGAUAGCUUAAUUUUUCAAUAAACUCAUAUUUUUAUCUUUAACAACAAUAACAAUAUUAAAUUAAUCGAAUAAAUAGUUUAAAUAUAACCAUAUAAAACGUGUAUCAUUAAUACAAUAAGAAUGAAGAAAAAAAAUGAUCAAGAAAACGGUACCGAUCCACCAAGAAAAACAAAAACAACAAAGAUCGCAAUAUUCCGUAAAAUGAUGGGGAUAAGCUCUUUAAAUUCUUCUCCCAUAUUUUGUCUUGUUUCAA